AAAAAAAGUACUCAUGUAAGCAUGCUAUGAGAUUAUUUAUAUUUCUCUCUUGUACGUUUACAAGGCCAAACGGCCAAACUCAUUUACAUAGCUUUCCCUGAGUAAGAAAAUGCAAAAGAAAAGGAUUGAAGAACCAACAAAAUCUAUGGUCGGCAGUUGCAAAUCCUCGAGUACCACAUCUGCCCCUGUCGAUCCAUCAGACCAUCCCUUGCUGCAAACUCCUCUCCGCCGGCAAUUCCAGGAACUCCGACGGUUGUGGGUGCACCAGAAGAGGGUGGAUCUGCGAUGGUUGUAAUGAACAGGCCUGG
This 308-nucleotide long non-coding RNA is filed under the name Phoenix dactylifera (date palm). RNAcentral's name for it is "long non-coding RNA (PDAC_LNC002781)". The record is from RNAcentral. Lineage: Eukaryota; Viridiplantae; Streptophyta; Magnoliopsida; Arecales; Arecaceae.